Molecule: long non-coding RNA, 285 nt
Filed under: Mytilus galloprovincialis (Mediterranean mussel)
Lineage: Eukaryota; Metazoa; Mollusca; Bivalvia; Mytilida; Mytilidae
Source: RNAcentral
CUGGUACCUAACAGAAAACCCUGGCCGUUUUUGGCACAACUUUUUUGAACUAUUGGUCCUCGAUGCUGUUCAACUUUGUACUUGUUUCGGCUUUCAAACUUUUGUAUCUGGGCGUCACUAGUAAGUCUUGUGUGGACAAAUGCACUUCUGGCGUUUUAAAUUUUAAACUUGUUGCCUUUUGUUAGCUAUUAUUCGUGUGUUUCUUUGUCAAUUGUGUUCUCCAAUUUAUUUAUAUUGUAGUCCUGUAAUGUUGUGCUGUCAUUUUUAUGUUAUAUUUCACAUGGC